RNAcentral lists this long non-coding RNA (252 nucleotides) under Oryza sativa aus subgroup. Its description in RNAcentral is "lncRNA OsNaBo_09g0005920". The record is from RNAcentral. Lineage: Eukaryota; Viridiplantae; Streptophyta; Magnoliopsida; Poales; Poaceae.
UCGAGUGUCUUCCCCUUCCUACAUUCCCUCGGCGUGAAAGAAAGAGAGAAAUCUUCCCCAUCUCGUCGUCUCCUCCGCUCCUUGCGCCCAAGACGAGCCGCGGCUGAGCAGGGGAGGGGCGCGCCGAUCUCCAUCCGGCGAGCAGAGCAGGGUAGGGGAUCCUGUUGGAUUGCUUGGAGAAUAUUCUCGGACAACGAGAAAAAGGCACAAGCUCUCGCUUGGAAGGCCCUGCUGCGCACUGGUUUCUGCUGA